AGUGAACGCUGGCGGUAGGCCUAACACAUGCAAGUCGAACGGCAGCACAGUAAGAGCUUGCUCUUACGGGUGGCGAGUGGCGGACGGGUGAGGAAUACAUCGGAAUCUACUUUUUCGUGGGGGAUAACGUAUGGAAACUUACGCUAAUACCGCAUACGACCUACGGGUGAAAGCAGGGGAUCUUCGGACCUUGCGCGAUUGAAUGAGCCGAUGUCGGAUUAGCUAGUUGGCGGGGUAAAGGCCCACCAAGGCGACGAUCCGUAGCUGGUCUGAGAGGAUGAUCAGCCACACUGGAACUGAGACACGGUCCAGACUCCUACGGGAGGCAGCAGUGGGGAAUAUUGGACAAUGGGCGCAAGCCUGAUCCAGCCAUACCGCGUGGGUGAAGAAGGCCUUCGGGUUGUAAAGCCCUUUUGUCGGGAAAGAAAAGCAGCAGGUUAAUACCCCGCUGUUCUGACGGUACCCAAAGAAUAAGCACCGGCUAACUUCGUG
This 492-nucleotide ribosomal RNA is filed under the name uncultured bacterium. RNAcentral describes it as "partial 16S ribosomal RNA". It matches the Rfam family "Bacterial small subunit ribosomal RNA", at positions 29 to 507 of the family's 1533-position model. The record is from RNAcentral.